GUUGUCCCUACAGGCAUUUAGGGAGCAAAUAUUUGCUUGAAGAUUGACAGCGAGUUUGUUCUCGCUUAAAAUAAGUAAUAAUUGCCUGAUUGAGCUUGCUUAAAGUGUUACGUUCUUCAUCCCUAGAUGAUGUUCGAUCUUGUCUUGGCUGCAAGUGUUGGGAGAGAGAAGUAACAGCCAGGGGUUUAAUGCCUGAAAGCAAUUUUCCCCAGACAAGAACUGUCAGUGCAUUAACUUCUGGCACACUGAUUUUCAAAAUCAAACUUCUACCUUGCAGGAAAUUGUAUUUCUGUCAUUCCUGCAGCGCAGAGGUCCAGCAAGACCUUCUCUCUCCACCUGACAGCUCUUUUACCUAUUCGAUUUGACCAUUUAACUCUUCAGCAGGCUACUGAAGAAAGUCAAGUCAUGAUGAGAGAGGUUCUAUGGGGCAGUUCAUUUGUUUUAAGGCUUAGCUGACAUGAAAAUCAAACCUUUUAGCUGUGGAAAAUCACUGCAGUUUCAGUCAAACCGGGGGUCUGUGCCUGCUUUGUGCCGGUGUCCCUGGGUGUGCGGGACCUGCGGGGAAUAUUGCAGCGGGCGAUGCAUCACUGCCGCAUUCUGCUGUGGGUGAAUCAAAGCAGCACCGUACUUUGGCCGUUUUCCACCCAGCUCAAAGGUUAGAUGAGGCUGGCAAGAUAUUAAUGAUUCCGCCAAAGUGUGCAAUGUCAUUAAGCUAAGAAAACAUCUAUAGGUACUCUAAAGUGCUUGUUGCUUGAAGAGCGUUGGUAAUUAUAUGGAUUGGAAAGAUGUAUGUUUGCUGCUUCUGAAACUCGGCCAGGCAAAAUGCUCGCAAUUAAUAAUCUGGAGCAAAAACUUUAUCUCCAUUGCUGCUGCAGAGCCUUUCAUUAAACAGAGUGCUAAAUACAUGGGGUGACAGCAUACGGAUUCUUUUUUGAUGAAUGAUUCUCCUUUAUUCGAGUAUUACUAUUCUGUGAACACCUCUGUGUGAUGGACCCGGGCGAGCUGGCAGUGCUUCCCAGUCGAUUGGUGAGUGGUUUGUAUGGGGUGUGGAAAUUGCCAAAAAAAGCUGAGAACGCUGGGUGGUUCUAACACUAAUUGUGUUGCAGGCAACGGUAAAUCUCCCUUGACUGUACUUGUGUGCAGUACUGAAGGGCGCUAUUCGUGAUUGCUGACUGUAUAAGGCCAAUAAGUAUGUUUUAAAAGAGUAUUCUUGAUACUGGCUAUCUUAAGUAGCAAAUGCUAAGGGUUUCUGAAACGAGAGGUGAGCCUAUAUGCAAGUCAAAAUUUUUAUUGUCUCAGAACAUCAUUUUGCUUGUGUGAUCUUGAAAUGAUGGGAUUCUGCAGUCUGGAGCCCUGUACCCCUCUCCUGCUGCACCUUGACUAAUACCUUUAAAUUCCCACUUAAGCCUAAGUGAGUAUCUGGGGUUGAAAUCGCAGUGGGCAGCAGGAACGCUUAUUUGACAGGAUAAUAAUUAUGUACUUAUGUAUCUGUUGCUUGCACGUUGGGUGUGAUAAACGCAAGGUAGUGGGUUUUUAAUUCUCAGAAUUGACCUGUGCUGUGUAAAACCUGUUAUUUUUGCCGCUGUUAUGUUGGACAGACAGCAGUUACUGCGGUUGCGCUCUGCCUGGCAGUGGAGUAGGAUGGGGUGUCUGUAACACCUGGCGCUAUGGCAAAUAACGGUGUAUGCGGAGAGAGAAAUUAUAGGCAGAGGGUGUUUAAAAACCAUGUGAAAAGUGUUUCUUCAGUGCAACUCAAACCACGUUACAGAUCUACUGAGGAGCACUCGAAAGCCAGGCUAGCUCCAACCCAGCAGCGACUGCCAGAGCUGCUGCUGACAAAGCUUUUCAGGAAUGAGUAUUAAACUCACCAGGCCCUCAAACUCUCGCGGGCACUUAGAAAGGUAAUAAAAUGCAGCAAGCAGAAAGCGAUAGGGUUGAAGUCUAACCAGGCGGAGGUUGCCGGAGGAGCUGGGAUGGCCAGCAGGGAUUUGCUAAGCAUGGAGCAGCCCCUGCUGCCCCGCCAGCGUCAGCCCUGCACGGCAGACGGGUGGGCGAGUGGUCCUGGGUCUGGCACGGAGCGAUCCCUGCCUUUUCAGGGAUCCUGCAUCUGUAGGGCAGGGCUGCCCUCAGCUGCAAAGGUAAUGGUCACGGUCGUUCCACAGGGACCUCAGGCACGUCUGCUGAAGCUCCUUAUUUAAAUGUUUUAAAUAAUACUCCAAAUACUCCCAAAACCUUACCAAUGAUAUGGACAGCAAGAAUUGUUGAGAUUUAUUUCCUUAUUUCUCUCUGCCUGGAUUUAAAGCGGUUUUGCACUAAUGGCUGCGAGUCGGAAAACCAAGUGCAACACUUGUUUAUUUUUUUUAAAGUUUGUGUAGAAACUGGAAAGGCAAGAACUGGGUUUUGGCUGCAUUCAGGGCGUCAUUUUUCCUACUCCUAACAGAAAAAAAAAAAAAAAAAUCCGUAAAAUGAACGUCCGUGGUGGAAAACUGGGUCCCUGCCUCCUGCAGAGGUAGGUGGGCUUGGAGCACCUAAGCCAGGCAGUGCUCCUGCAAUAACUUGGUAUUGUAAACAGCAUCUAGAGAGAGAUUUUCCAGGCAAAACCAAUCUGCUUCAUGCUGUGCUUUAGAUAACUCCUCAGUGCUCAUGUACCAUCAAUACAAGUCGCUCCGGAGCAGCGAUGCUGCCUGAGGCUGGUGUGCACCAGAGCCCGGUCCUGCCCUCCCCGCACAUUUUGAGCACUGCUGCAUCUCCUCCUGUAGUGAAGAUAGGUGUGCUAUUCUCCAGCAUAACUUGUGCUGUCGGGGCAAGGAGCACCCCAACUGUCAGUGCCUGUAGGACAGGGAGCGGUAGGAGCGAGCGGGGGAUGCUCACUGGGGUGGGCAGGCAGAGCCAUGGUGCUCUUGCACCGCUGUGCUGGGGCGUGGGCGGGCAGCUUGGGGUGUAUCGGCACACCCCUGCGUGGGUUUGGUUCGGAAGGGAUACUUGAGAUUUAUUGUCUCACCUCAAGAAAGCAGAGGAUAAAGGCAAAGCCAAAGGGAGCUUCCCUGUGCUGUGUGAUCUAGUUUGUAAGCGCUUACAUGGGAGAUAAACCAUUUACCAAUAUUUUGGCUAAGCUGCCUUUGAGAAGGUAAAAUAAGCUCGCUGAACUCCAGAGCAGCUUGUGUUUGGAGGCAGUACGACUUCCCCUACUGAAAUAAAAUGUCUCCUUUCUUGUGUCGGGAGGCUUGUCUUUGGGAACUGAUGUAGCUGAUAAGCUGAUACACUCGGCUGUGCAAGUUGCUGUAUUGACAGCGUGGCCAGGAUGCAGUGGUGCAGCCCAAAGGAGGUUUACAGGGACCACCAUUUCAUAUUUAGAGGGGAAAAUGGACUUUUAUGAUGCUUUUUGUGGGGGAAAGCCUAUUGUGAGGUUGUAUAAAAUUCCCAUGUUAAGUUACGAAAGUUAGGUAUUAUUGCCACUGGAAGGACAUCUAAUUUCCUAAUUUUCCCCGGUGCCCCUCAGUAUAGGUAUUUCUUUUUUCUAAACCAAAUAGCUGUUUUAAAAAAUGGCAUCAUCUGAUCAGUUGAGUGCUUUCCAAGGUUUCCCACUGUGGACUGCAGGUUAACAUGGCCAGGGGCUGCUCCCCCAGCAAGGCAUCCCCCAGCCGAGCAUCGCAGGUGCAGGGCAGAAUAGCGCUGCUAAGGAGGGCUGCAACAUCUCCAGCAGCGGGGUUUGGUCUGUUUUGGCUGUUAAAUCUGCAAAUAAUUCAACUUUUGUAUGAGAAGUUUCCUUAGCUAUAACUAAAAAGAUGUGAAAAUAUUUCUUCCAUCUUGCCCACUAACCUGGAUCUGAAAUCAAUCCUGCUUCUGUAAGCAAAGCACUGAUGGCUUCGGUGGAAAAUGAGUUUCACUCGUACAAUUAUCUGCAGUUGUUGCCUUAGACCUGAGGUGCUACAUAAUCGCUCUUCCCCUCAAGGGUUUCCAGCUUUUUCAAGUACUCGUAUCAUUUUGGGGUGCUUUGUCUUUCCCUGUCGCGCCUGUGGAGUCAUUUGCGUCACAGAAGUGGUAGAUCUUAUUUAUAUCAGCAAUCUGGGUUUCCUGCUCAGUGGUCUAUAGAUCUCCUUUAAAUGAGAAAAUCGCGCUAAGGCCAUUUAUUUCAGCUGGUCCGUGAUUUGUUAAAAUGAAAUCCGAGCGUGGCUGGGCGGGAGGAAAUAGCUGCAAUUCGGAGGGGCUGGGAAGGAAAGGGAAGUGCCGGGCUGAGAUUUAAUCCUCUCUCGGCUGGUAGAUGGCAACACUAAAAAAAGAGAACUAUAUUAAAGUGCUUAAUUCUUUAUGCAUACAAAAGCUGCUAGUAUGUACGGUCUGUAGGGAAUCGAAGUGCUUUUAGUGAGUUAUUAAAAAUUUAAUCUAAACUUUUUAUUUAAUGUAAUUCCUAUAUUGAAUUUAUUAAAGAGGGACUUGGGGAACUAUCAGAAUUCUGCACCUGAAUCAUGUAUGACCAUCCUCUUCUCUAUCUCCUUUGUCUGGUAGGAGUUUGAUGAUAAACUAUUCGUAGUAGUUAAAAAUAAUAAAAAUCUGUGAAUCAUUUCUUCUUA
Falco peregrinus (peregrine falcon) is the source of this 4571-nucleotide long non-coding RNA. RefSeq lists it as uncharacterized. Lineage: Eukaryota; Metazoa; Chordata; Aves; Falconiformes; Falconidae. The transcript is spliced from 2 exons. The record is from RefSeq and is a predicted model, not a curated record.